UUCGCCUCCGACGGCGCAGUCGGCGUAAAUCGGUGUAACUGUACUGACGCUGUAAAACAGCGCAUCCCUAAUAAGAUUGCCACAAACCAAUCUAAUAAUUUGUUUAUGGCGUCGGCAACUGUGACAGCCGUUGAUGUUGACGACCUUCAUACUCGCAAUCAAGUCCUCGUCGUUAUUGUAUCGUCAGUCCAACCAUCACACUAACCAUAUUGUUCAAUGGCAAAAAAAAAUGGAACGAAGCACCCCCAAUUCCACAUGGAGUUGUGUUCCGGACAUGGAAUGAAAUGGAACUUUCAUCGGGAAGGACAUACCUAAUUGGUUCGUGUAAUUUCUUUCAAAUUGUGUGACCACGGGUCAACGCUGGCCAAAAGUCAAGGCAACGGCCACGCAACCAUGGCCGUUACCAGUGUACAGGAAACCUCGAGCUCUCAUCCUCCUGACGUCGCCCCUGCUGCGGGCGCCUCUCCAUAGGCGUCGCCGUUCGGAGUCGCAAGACCAGCUCUGGGUCGUCCGGCAAGCCAAAGAUGCCACCCGAGACGAAAAACUUCGAGCCGCCACCUGAGGCCACCGCAACAAAACUGCCGGACCAU
Dermacentor albipictus is the source of this 590-nucleotide non-coding RNA. Lineage: Eukaryota; Metazoa; Arthropoda; Arachnida; Ixodida; Ixodidae. The record is from RefSeq and is a predicted model, not a curated record.